This 480-nucleotide ribosomal RNA is filed under the name uncultured bacterium. RNAcentral's name for it is "partial 16S ribosomal RNA". It matches the Rfam family "Bacterial small subunit ribosomal RNA", at positions 29 to 507 of the family's 1533-position model. The record is from RNAcentral.
AUGCACGCUGGCGGCGUGCUUCACCCCUGCCAGUCGCACGAAGCAUUUAAGACAGAUUACUUCGGUUUGAAGUCUUUUAUGACUGAGUGGCGGACGGGUGAGUAACGCGUGGGUAACCUGCCUCAUACAGGGGGAUAGCAGCUGGAAACGGCUGGUAAUACCGCAUAAGCGCACAGUACCACAUGGUACAGUGUGAAAAACUCCGGUGGUAUGAGAUGGACCCGCGUCUGAUUAGCUUGUUGGCGGGGUAACGGCCCACCAAGGCGACGAUCAGUAGCCGACCUGAGAGGGUGACCGGCCACAUUGGGACUGAGACACGGCCCAGACUCCUACGGGAGGCAGCAGUGGGGAAUAUUGCACAAUGGAGGAAACUCUGAUGCAGCGACGCCGCGUGAGUGAAGAAGUAGUUCGCUAUGUAAAGCUCUAUCAGCAGGGAAGAUAGUGACGGUACCUGACGAAGAAGCUCCGGCUAAAUACGUG